UACGGCCAUUUUACUUUGAAUCAUUGGUUCUCGUACGAUCACCGAAGUUAAGCAACGUCGAGCCUGGUCUAUACCUAGAUGGGUGACUGUCUGCGAAUACCAGGUGCUAU
Molecule: non-coding RNA, 110 nt
Organism: Acanthosepion pharaonis
Lineage: Eukaryota; Metazoa; Mollusca; Cephalopoda; Sepiida; Sepiidae
Source: the annotation of a GenBank genome assembly